CUGAGUUGUUGAAGCGGGCUGCUGCUGGCUCCUUUCGGGGGCAUGUGCGCGCUUGUUCACAUUUCAUCCUUCACACUUGUGCACCAUCUGUAGUUCCGAGCCGAUUAUCAGAGGCGCUCGCUCGCCUCAAAAGCUCGGUUCUAUGUUAUUUCAAUGACUUAGUUCGAUAGAAUGUGUUCACAGGCGUGUACAACGUCUGAUAAUAAUAUAUA
RNAcentral lists this unclassified non-coding RNA (212 nucleotides) under uncultured Odontia. Its description in RNAcentral is "sequence contains ITS1". The record is from RNAcentral. Lineage: Eukaryota; Fungi; Basidiomycota.